This 635-nucleotide ribosomal RNA is filed under the name Alternaria papavericola. Its description in RNAcentral is "eukaryotic LSU rRNA". It matches the Rfam family "Eukaryotic large subunit ribosomal RNA", at positions 1 to 648 of the family's 3401-position model. The record is from RNAcentral. RNAcentral also lists the same sequence under 1 other name. Lineage: Eukaryota; Fungi; Ascomycota; Dothideomycetes; Pleosporales; Pleosporaceae.
UUUUGACCUCGGAUCAGGUAGGGAUACCCGCUGAACUUAAGCAUAUCAAUAAGCGGAGGAAAAGAAACCAACAGGGAUUGCCCUAGUAACGGCGAGUGAAGCGGCAACAGCUCAAAUUUGAAAUCUGGCUCUUUUAGAGUCCGAGUUGUAAUUUGCAGAGGGCGCUUUGGCUUUGGCAGCGGUCCAAGUUCCUUGGAACAGGACGUCACAGAGGGUGAGAAUCCCGUACGUGGUCGCUGGCUAUUGCCGUGUAAAGCCCCUUCGACGAGUCGAGUUGUUUGGGAAUGCAGCUCUAAAUGGGAGGUACAUUUCUUCUAAAGCUAAAUAUUGGCCAGAGACCGAUAGCGCACAAGUAGAGUGAUCGAAAGAUGAAAAGCACUUUGGAAAGAGAGUCAAACAGCACGUGAAAUUGUUGAAAGGGAAGCGCUUGCAGCCAGACUUGCUUGCAGUUGCUCAUCCGGGCUUUUGCCCGGUGCACUCUUCUGUAGGCAGGCCAGCAUCAGUUUGGGCGGUGGGAUAAAGGUCUCUGUCACGUACCUCUCUUCGGGGAGGCCUUAUAGGGGAGACGACAUACCACCAGCCUGGACUGAGGUCCGCGCAUCUGCUAGGAUGCUGGCGUAAUGGCUGUAAGCGGC